RNAcentral lists this ribosomal RNA (270 nucleotides) under uncultured prokaryote. RNAcentral describes it as "partial 16S ribosomal RNA". It matches the Rfam family "Bacterial small subunit ribosomal RNA", at positions 524 to 794 of the family's 1533-position model. The record is from RNAcentral.
UACGUAGGGGCAAGCGUUAUCCGGAUUUACUGGGUGUAAAGGGAGCGCAGACGGCAGUGCAAGUCUGAUGUGAAAGCCCGGGGCUCAACCCCGGAACUGCAUUGGAAACUGUACAGCUUGAGUGUCGGAGAGGUAAGCGGAAUUCCUAGUGUAGCGGUGAAAUGCGUAGAUAUUAGGAGGAACACCGGUGGCGAAGGCGGCUUACUGGACGAUGACUGACGUUGAGGCUCGAAAGCGUGGGGAGCAAACAGGAUUAGAUACCCUGGUAGU